UUGAACGCUGGCGGCAUGCUUUACACAUGCAAGUCGAACGGUAACGCGGGGGCAACCCUGGCGACGAGUGGCGAACGGGUGAGUAAUACAUCGGAACGUGCCCAGUUGUGGGGGAUAGCUCGGCGAAAGCCGGAUUAAUACCGCAUACGACCUACGGGUGAAAGCGGGGGAUCGCAAGACCUCGCGCUAUUGGAGCGGCCGAUGGCAGAUUAGCUUGUUGGUGGGGUAAAAGCCUACCAAGGCGACGAUCUGUAGCUGGUCUGAGAGGACGACCAGCCACACUGGGACUGAGACACGGCCCAGACUCCUACGGGAGGCAGCAGUGGGGAAUUUUGGACAAUGGGCGAAAGCCUGAUCCAGCAAUGCCGCGUGUGUGAUGAAGGCCUUCGGGUUGUAAAGCACUUUUAGUGGGAACGAAACGGUCCGGGCUAAUACCCUGGACUAAUGACGGUACCCGCAGAAUAAGCACCGGCUAACUACGU
Molecule: ribosomal RNA, 482 nt
Filed under: uncultured bacterium
Lineage: Bacteria
Description: bacterial SSU rRNA
Rfam family: Bacterial small subunit ribosomal RNA
Source: RNAcentral